RNAcentral lists this ribosomal RNA (698 nucleotides) under uncultured bacterium. Its description in RNAcentral is "bacterial SSU rRNA". It matches the Rfam family "Bacterial small subunit ribosomal RNA", at positions 697 to 1397 of the family's 1533-position model. The record is from RNAcentral.
UGUCACAGAACGCCAAUCGUGAAGACAGGUCACGAAAUUAUUACCUGACGCUCAUGCACGAAAGCGUGGGGAUCAAACAGGAUUAGAUACCCCUGGUAGUCCACGCUGUAAACGAUGAUUACUCGUUGUUUGGGCAGUGAUGCUCAGUGGCUAAGCGAAAGCGAUAAGUAAUCCACCUGGGGAGUACGAUCGCAAGGUUGAAACUCAAAGGAAUUGACGGGGGCCCGCACAAGCGGAGGAGCAUGUGGUUUAAUUCGAUGAUACGCGAGGAACCUUACCCGGGCUUGAACGUAAGACGAAUAUAUAAGAGGUUAUAUAGCCUUCGGGCGUCUUGCGAGGUGCUGCAUGGUUGUCGUCAGCUCGUGCCGUGAGGUGUUAGGUUAAGUCCUGCAACGAGCGCAACCCUUACACUUAGUUGCCAGCACGUAAUGGUGGGGACUCUAAGUGAACUGCCUACGCAAGUAGAGAGGAAGGUGGGGAUGACGUCAAAUCAGCACGGCCCUUAUGUCCGGGGCUACACACGUGCUACAAUGGUAUGUACAGAGGGCAGCCACCUGGCGACAGGGAGCUAAUCCUCAAAGCAUAUCUCAGUUCGGAUUGGAGUCUGUAACUCGACUCUAUGAAGUUGGAUUCGCUAGUAAUCGCGCAUCAGCCAUGGCGCGGUGAAUACGUUCCCGGGCCUUGUACACACCGCCCGU